This 484-nucleotide ribosomal RNA is filed under the name uncultured bacterium. Its description in RNAcentral is "partial 16S ribosomal RNA". It matches the Rfam family "Bacterial small subunit ribosomal RNA", at positions 30 to 507 of the family's 1533-position model. The record is from RNAcentral.
AUUGAACGCUGGCGGCAGGCCUAACACAUGCAAGUCGAGCGGAUGAAGGGAGCUUGCUCCUGGAUUCAGCGGCGGACGGGUGAGUAAUGCCUAGGAAUCUGCCUGGUAGUGGGGGAUAACGUCCGGAAACGGGCGCUAAUACCGCAUACGUCCUGAGGGUGAAAGUGGGGGAUCUUCGGACCUCACGCUAUCAGAUGAGCCUAGUUCGGAUUAGCUAGUUGGUGGGGUAAAGGCCUACCAAGGCGACGAUCCGUAACUGGUCUGAGAGGAUGAUCAGUCACACUGGAACUGAGACACGGUCCAGACUCCUACGGGAGGCAGCAGUGGGGAAUAUUGGACAAUGGGCGAAAGCCUGAUCCAGCCAUGCCGCGUGUGUGAAGAAGGUCUUCGGAUUGUAAAGCACUUUAAGUUGGGAGGAGGGGCAGUAAGUUAAUACCUUGCUGUUUUGACGUUACCAACAGAAUAAGCACCGGCUAACUUCGUG